RNAcentral lists this long non-coding RNA (5914 nucleotides) under Homo sapiens (human). RNAcentral describes it as "HSALNT0380653". The record is from RNAcentral. Lineage: Eukaryota; Metazoa; Chordata; Mammalia; Primates; Hominidae.
CUUCCCUCUCUGAUUAGAGAUUACCUAUCUAAUUUAAGUUUGCCUCUCAUAGUAAGACUUUUUUUGCUAACAGCCAUUAAAGUAACCCAACACACAGGAACAUCCUGAAUUUUUCCUUUCAUUUCCCAUGCCACUCUAACCUUAGUCAACCUGUGGUCUGCAUUAUAAGACAGAUCAGGCCAAUGGUUGCUUAAAUAUUUUGCUAUACCGAAGGUUUUCCUGCCUGACAGUUGAGUCCGCAACCUCCACUCUGACCUAACAAAAAGUGUGUUUCUUGCAGUAUUCCACUUCCAGGACCCAAAUUCUCUAUCAGUUAGAUAUGCUUUCAGCUAUAAACCAUUAAAACUCAAUGAACUACAGAUGAAACAAAUAAAAAUAUUUUUCUCUAACAGAAAUCUAGGUGUGAGUAGUAGCAUUGGUUCCAAGGCAUCAAGGCCCUAAGUCAGCAUCUCUGUGAUUCUCGUGGCCUCCUGCUCAUAGUCACGAGAUGGUUGCAGCACAUCAUCACAUCACCUUGGAAGGCAGGAAGCAGGUGGUAGUGUGAUGCAGAGCUUUUCUUCUCAGCCUCUGUCUCUUAUAUCAAGAAGUAAAAUUUUUCCCAAAGCCCCUCAACAGCCUUUUACUUAAAUCUCAUUGGCCAGAAUUGGAUAAGAAGCCUGCUCACCUUAGACUUGGGCAUACCUUCCAUGGAAUCAAAGGAUCUGCACUGGGGGAAAAAAGUUAGGGUCCCUUAAGCAAGGAAUACUUAGCCAACGGUGUCUGCCGUAGACUGCCCCCAACAAAACUGACAAGAGCCCAAAUGGAAGUUUUAAAACUUAAGCUAAGGCUGGGCGUGGUGGCUCACUCCUGUCAUCGCAGCACUUUGGAAGGCCGAGGCGGGAGGAUCACUUGAGCCCAGGAGUUCAAGACCAGCCUGGGCAACAUGGCAAAACACCAUCCCUCUCUCUCUGUCUCUCUCUCUCUCUCCACACACACACACACACUACAAAAACUUAGCCAGGUGUGGUGGCUCAUGCCUGUGAUCCCAGCUACUCGAGAGGCUGAGAGGUGGGACGAUCACCUGAGCCCAGGAAAUUGAGGCUGCAGUGAGCUGUGAUCGCAUCACUGCACUCCAGCCCGGGUGACAGAGCAAGAACUUGCCUCAAAACAAAAAAAAAUUAAACUAAAAACAAAUAAAACCUCCUCAUAAACCUUUUCUCAUGACACUGCAAAUUGCACAGUACAACUAUGGGCUGCACUGAAACUCUGGAAAUGAGCUAUACUCAUUUUCCUUCUUUCUUUCUUUCUUUCUCUCUUUUCUUUCUUUUCUCUCUCUUUUCUCUCUUUUUCUCUUUCUUUUCUUUCUUUCUUUCUUUCUCUCUUUCUUUCUCUCUCUCUCUCUCUGUCUGUCUGACUUUUUGUCUGACUGUCUUUUUUUGACACAGGGUCUCGCUCUAUUGCCCAGGCUAGAGUGCAGUGGCACGAUCUCGGCUCACUGCAGCCUCGACCUCUUGGGCUCAAGUGAUCCUCCCACCUCAGCCUCCCCAGUAGCUGAGACUGAGACUACAGGCCACCAUGCCUGGCUAGUAUCUUUUUUUUUUUUUUUUUUUUUUUUGUAGAGACAAGGUUUUGCCAUGUUGCCCAAGCUGGUCUUGAACAUCUGGCCCCAGGUAAUCUGCCCAUCUUGGCCUCCCAAAGUUCCAGGAUUGCAACCAGGCAUUAAAAAGAUGACACAGAAAAAUUACAGAGUCAGCAUAUAUUUGAAUACUGGAUAAAAGGGAAGAGGAUGAAAUGGAUUUUUCAAAGCUUCUAAAGAAAACAGAACUAGCUGUGUAGCAGACUCCUCUUAUAAACCUCUGCGAAGUUCUACUUGAAAAGCUGUGGUUUCAUUUCAAAGGAAACCAGCAAUCAGGGGGAUCUCUACAGGAAAAUCUCUUCCCUAUGUCUUCUUUAGACUCUUCAAAAAGGAGAGAGAGCACAAAAAAAGAAAAUACACAAGUAAAUAGGUUCAAGUACAUCAAGAAUCACAGUUUCUAAAAAGGCUAGUGAAAGGUCAAUGACUUCAGAGUCAAGAAAUCCAUUUCUAAUGUUUCUUCAGCUGUGACUCAUUGUGAAAUGUUGAGGAGGGUCACAGAAGCCUCCAGCCCUCGGUUUCCCCAGCUGUAAAACAAAUAUUUGAAUAAGUGGCCAGUCCACAUUAUAGCUGAUGUGCUUUCAGGGACUCAAAAUGAGAAUCAUAAAUAUGUAAAAAUACAAAGAUAAGGUGUUCCCUGUAGAAAAACACUAAACUAGCAGAAAAAGAAACAUCACAUUUGUGUGCUAAUUGGGUAUUCCAGAUUAAAGUAAUUUGUUAAAAAUUAUUGGAAGAAAAAUCCAUAAUUUGGCAAUAAAAAGGAUUUCCGUAAGAAGAGACAGACAAGAUCAUAACAGAUUCAGUGACUCUAGGUUACUCAGCCAAAUUAAAAUGCUCUCCUUUCAUCCUCGAAGGGAAAUCCUUGAGAAGUUUGUGGACCGUCACCAUCUGUUCAGCAAAACAUGCAUCAACAUAAUAUUUUCCACAUGUUUUUUGUUUUCUUUUUAAUUUUGCAAACGGAGAUUAAUCUUUUCCUAGUCAGAAUGUUUUACUAUAACCAUUGUCAGAGGAAAUAAGUGGAAACUCGGUUUUGAUCCCACUUCUCUCCCUACCCACUCGCCACCAUUUGCGUUUUCUAUGGUGAUGUGUGGAUUAAAGCUGAGGAGAAACUAAUAAUUCACAUCCUUUGCAGAUCAUGACAAGUCUGUAUUUCAUAAAACUGGAGAAAUCCUGCUCUGAAGCUCAUUUUUCAUGCAGCUACAAAAUCAUCUCUUUCUUCUCAUCAGAACUCCAUAGUGACAUCCAUCAAUAGCUGGAUCAAGGCCAAGAGUGCCAUAACCACCUACGGAUUCACUCUUCGCUGUGCCAUGCCAGUCAACUAUGCCCUUCCCUACUAUCCUUCUUCCACCACCAUUCCUCUGACUGUCAGGCUCAGCAAACAGCUUGCAGUUGGUCAAUGAGUGCUUACCAAGCCCCGGCUCUGUGCCCAGCAUCAUGCAAAGCAUAAAUGGACAUGGACAACAGUCUUAAACUACUUCCUACCCACAAGCAGCUCACAAACUUGUUGGGAAGAAAGUAGAACAAGGAGAGGAAAAGACAGUAAAAGCACCCACUGUGACAUGGUAAAAAUGAUGUUGACAACAAUAAUGAUGGUGCUGGGAUCUAACUCCUCUAUUUUGCCUGUAACUUGUCUUCCGAGUUUCUACACAUUGGUUGGCCAGAGGAAAAUUAACUUUGAAUUCCAUCUAGUCAAAAGUUUAGUAUGGUCCAAUAAUUAUAGUAGUCCCUUUAAGAAAUGCUCAGCUGUACAAUACUCAUUUUCCAAAAAGCUUAAAUCUUAGAAAACAGUUCCCUUGUCCAUUUAGGUGGGUUUGUGUAAUGCUGAUCAAAGUCUGGUCCAUCUAGGACCUCUGAUAAUAUUACUGUCACUCCCAAAGCUAGGUUUAUUUCCACCUGGUUGCAAUACUCAUAAAGAAAGAAAACCACUAAGUGAUGUGUUAAUAACAGGUAUGUAUAGAAAGCACCACUGUUAUUUUAAACAAGUAAAAUGAAACCCAAAAAGUUUGGCAAUACAAGAAGUGCUAUGGGCUAAACUGUGUCCUCACAAAAAUUCAUAUAUUGAAGCCCUAAUGUCCAGUACCUCAGAAUGUGACCGUAUUCGGAGAUAGGGCUUUAAAGAGGCGAUGAAGUUAAAACAAAGUCAUUGAGGUGAGGCUCUAAUUCAACGACUGAUAUCCUUAUAAGAAGAGGAAAUCUGGACAUAGAUGGGCCCAGAGGAAAGAUCACAUUAAGACAGAAAAAGAAGAUGGCCGCCUACAAGCCUAAGAGAGAAGCCUCGGGAGAAACCAACCCUGAUGACAACUUGAUCUCAGAUGGCUGGCCUUUAAAAUUGUGAGAAACUAAGUUUUUGUUGUUUAAGGCACCCAGUCUGUGGUACUUUGUUAUGGCAACCCUAACAAGCUAAUACAAUAACCAAUCUCUAAAAAACAUCUCUCUGUGAAUGAUACAAGAAUCCAGGGUUCUGUUUUUCUCACUGACAUUUUUGCUGUUUUAAUACUAAAAUGGUGUCUGGCAUAAAAAAUGUUUGAUAAUGUUUGUUGAAUUAAUAAGUAGAUAUUAUCUUUGCUGUUAAUUCAUGAUACAAUUUUAAUACAUUUUACCAACCUAAAUAGAAAAUCAAACUGAAAAAGUAACUUCCUCAUUAAACAAACACAAAAAAAUUCUAAAUUUACAUGCUAGGUAAUUUCUAACAAUAAUUUUUUAAAAGGAUUUUAUCUUAAUUUUCAUUUAUGUUUCUAUAGCCAGAGUCUUCCCAAGAUUCAAUACUUUGUUUGGUUUCCUAUCAUCUCAAUGAUCUCUUCCAAAUCCUGCUGAAGUUGUUAGAAGUAAAAUUAUCUCCAUCUUAUAAAUGGGAAAAGUAAACUGGCAAGUCAAAGAAUUUUCUAGAGAAUAGGCCCACAGAGAAGGCUGUUAAACCAGGAUGGAGAGAUUUAAACACAUACACCUAGGGGAGGCAGAGAAGAGACGGGAACAUGAGGUGGCCUGAAAAUGAGCACAGUAUUUGAAGGUCUCCCAACAUGAGUUUGAUCACAUUUAAAGCCCACCAAUUUAGAGCUUUUUCAAACUCCAUUCAAAGGGGGUUUUCCUGACGUAUCUGCAAAACCUAAUAAGAAGGCCCUGUCCUCUGUGUAAGCAGCUUUUCAUACAUGCAUAUAUUCAUUUAUUGAUUCAUUCAGUAACUACUUAUUGAGCAUCUACUAUGUGAAAGGCAUUCCUAUCAGCCCUGGAGAUGCAAUCGUGAGUAAAACAGACAGAAAUGUCCCUGCCCUCACGGAGUUUACAUCCUGGUAGUGGGGACAGAAAAUUUAAAAAAAAUAAAUAAGUAAAAUAUGUGUCAGUAUUAAGUACCAUGGAGAAAAAAUUAAACAGCGAUGAAAAAUAUAAAACGUAAGGAUGGUUGAAAUAUUCGGUCAGCCAGGAAAGGUGUCAUGAAGUUGAGUUAGGAAACUGACUACAUGAGAAACAUUUAAACACCUUCUUACCUUGUCAGACGGUAUUCUGAGUUCCAGAUUCAAGCAGCCUGGUUUCCAUACACAGUACCACUUUUUAUUUAUUGUGAGAAAAUUGCCUAAUUUUGUGUCUCAGUUUCUUUAUCUGUAAAAUGGGGAUAAUUUUUUUAACUAGUAGAGUUGUGAAGAGUCAAUUUAAAAACAAAACACAUUUAGUGCUUAAAACAGUGCCUGAUGUAUAAGAACUCAAUAAAUAUUAGGUUUUGUAGUUGCUUUUGUGUUUUUUUUACUUUCUAUGAUCUAAUUUCAAGAUUGUUAAAAUGGGACUCAUAAUGCCAGGCUUCACUGAAUUUUUGUAGGAAUCUCACGAGACAAGACAUAAAGAGCCCUUGGAGUUUGGAUCAUAGUAAGCACUAAAUGUAUGCUUCCUGCUCCUGUUACCAUUGUAACCAGGCAACAUUUUUGUUUUCUUAACUAUUGCAACAGUAUUUGACUUGGAACAAUAGCCAUCGGGAAUAGAAGGUUAGAUCCUGAGGACAUGGACGUACAUCCACAAUAAUCUUAGCAUAAAAGAAAAGAGAGAUAGUUAAGCUUCUCUGCACUUGAAAACAAGAGGAUGGGAGUAUUGGGAGAAACAGAAAGCAGAAGAGAAAAAGGGGAAGGAGAGAGGCACCGAGGAGCUGUUGUGAAGCUGGGGAUUUUAUAGGAUGAGGGAAGGGUAUCUAUUCGCUAAGGAUGGGAUAGUGGAGAAACAUUUUACAAAUAAAGAUGAGUCAAGUUAAAUUUGAAAUUAUUUUUGUUUCAACAUGAACUGCACUUCUGUCUCCUCAUGCCACCAAAAGUUUUAAUAAAU